Molecule: long non-coding RNA, 2795 nt
Organism: Leucoraja erinaceus (little skate)
Lineage: Eukaryota; Metazoa; Chordata; Chondrichthyes; Rajiformes; Rajidae
Exons: 3
Source: RefSeq, a predicted model, not a curated record
CACAAGUCCAUGGUUGUGCAAGAGGAGGUCCAUAAUGUUCCAGUGUCAAGCAUCUUCAUCCUGUUGGCCUGCUGCAAAACCAUGACAUUUCAUUUUGGAACAUUUAAUGUCAAGCCAUUAGCUCAGUCAAAAAUCAUUGAUGGGGAAGAAGUCUUGUCUUAUGAAUGUUCUGACAGCCUAACAUCGAGGGGUUGGCGGCCUUUGCUGGAGACCAACCUUUGAGAGCUCCACCACGGGGAGCCGACGGGACUUUAACAUCGUGGAGCCCGUGAUCCCUCUGCCAGGACCUCGAAGCUCCAACUGUGGUUGCUUGCGGACUUAACAUCUCAGAGACCGACUUCGGGAACUCCAAGCCGCAGGAGCUUCCACCACCCCGAUGCGGACGUUUCGAUCGCCCCAACGUGGAGAAUCCGCUGUGGUGGAUGGUUAUGUUAAAUUUUAUGUAGUUGUACGUCUUGUUGCUUUUUUAGUGUACUCUAAUUGGUACACAUGACAAUAAAAAACCUUUGAAACCUUUGAAAUGUAAUUUUUAAACUGGUGGGCAGCCAUAAAGUUCCAUAAAUAUUUAUUUGUUUUAUGUUGCCAAUUAUUUUUUUUGUUUUUUGUGACAUGAGGAUAAAUAACCAGAUAGGUUUUACAAAACUGGAUCAGUAUUAGAUUGUAAUUUUAAUUAUUGUCAAAAAUACUUUGUCCAGUGCCUAUUGCGAAAUUGGUGACUUUCUAAUAUAUAUUUCAGGAUGAACACUAAAAUCUACGCACAUUUUUUUAAUACCGUGAGAACAAGUAGGACAUUUUUGUUUUAUAAUAGCAUAUUAUCAAAUUUUAGAGAUCUGCCAAAAUAUUUCAUGUUCAGUGAAUAGUUAUCACUGUUAUUAAAUGGGCUGAGAAGACUGGGUAACACAUCACGAUAUGCAUAUAAAAUACCAACAGAGGAGUUUCUUGUGUAGUUUUAUGUAGAUGUUAGUUCCAUACAAGUUGCAUUAUCAAGAGUGUGGAGACAUUUUAAGAAUUUGUAACAGAGAAUGGAGAGGAAUCUAAAGCUUUCCCCACAAGAUGUGUAAGGGACAGGGUUCAGGAAUGUAAAGCCGCCACAAAAACCCACAAUCUUUUCAGAUCGAAGUCUCGUGUCAGGGAAACAUCACAAUAACUCCUAUGUUCUGGGCAUAAACAUGGAGACAACGUUUAAAUUUCGGUGGCCUUCAUUGCAUUAGUGGUGACAUUUUGUGAAUCAGAUCUUUCCUCUUACAAAAAUAAGGAAUCAGCCAUGGAGAGGAUUAUUCUAAUAGUCUCUUAAUUAGUCUCCUUUCGUGGGAUUGACUGUUUGUACAUGUUUCUCUGUGGUACUUUUCUUGAAAUUAGGUGCAUCAUUAUGAAUGCACCUAACUCAAAGAAAAGUAGCACAGAGAAACAUGUACAAACAAUCAAUCCCAUGAAAGGAAACUAAUUGAGAGACUAUAAUAUAACAUGCCCUGAAAAAUGCAAGACAGAGUGCAUGUGGGUGGGUGUGGCUGGGAAUUGUGAGUGGGAGGGCUGUAAAAUGUAAGUAAUUUGCCAGAUGGUUGGGAUGAAGGUCCCAAUGCCCCAUUUUCCACACUUUCCACACUCAAAUAGAAUGUGUGCCUACAAUACAUUCAAGGGACGUUGAUCCUCAAACGUUAGUUGCUCAAUUUACUAUUACAACUCACAAUUGCAUUUACACGAUUUACUUAAAUAUCUGAGUUUCUCCAAACAAUUUUAUGGUCAAGUAACCUGUUCCCCCUCUGUCCUUUUUUUUCCUCUCCUUCUCUCCUUUUUAUUCUCUCCUUCUGAUCUACCAAGGCCCUUUCACAAACUUCUUUCUUACAACCACUGCCCCUCAGCUUUUUACUAUCUUUCCUUUCCUUUCUCCCACCUACCCCAUCCGCUCAUCACCCACACACUACUCCCACUGGAUCUCAUAUGUUCUCCCCCCACUCUUCCCAUCUGCCCACCAUCCUUCUCUUACUGGGUUUUGUGCUUCCAUUAUUAGUCCUGCAGAGAUCUGCAGUCCUCUGUUGUCUCCACAUCACCUCCCUGCUUCUGAAUAGGAAGGAACUGCAGAUGCAGGAUAAGGAUGAGGAUGAGGGGUGAUCUUAUAGAGGGGUAUAAGAUCAGGUAGAUGCACAGAGUUUCUUGCCCAAAAGAAGGUGAAUCGAGGACCAGAGGACAUAGGUUUAGGCUGAAGGAGAAAAGAUGUAAUAGGAAUCUGAGGGGGUAACCUUUUCCCACAAAGGGUGGUGAAUGUAUGGAACAAGCUGCCAGAGGAGGUAGUUGAGCCAGGAAUGAUCCCAACAUUUCAGAAACAGUUAGACAGGUACAUGGAUAGGUCAGGUUUGGAGUGAUAUUAGCUGGCAGGUGGGACUAGUGUAGCUGGGACAUGUUGUGCUGAAGGGCCUGUUUCCACACUAUAUCAUUCUAUGACUCUGCUGGUUUACAGCGAAGAUAGACACAAAAAGCUGGAGUUACUCAGUGGGUCAGUCAGCAUCUUUGGAGUAAAGGAACAGAUGACGUUUCAGGUUGAGACCCUUUUCCAGACUGAAAGUCAGGGGAAAGGAAAACAAGAGAUAUAGAAGGUACACAGAACAAACGAAUAAAAGAUAUGCAAAAAGCAAUAAUGAUCAAGAAAAGGUGGAGCCCACAAUUGCCCAUUAUUCGUUGUGGGGAAGGUGAUAAGUUAUACAGACAGUGAAACUCAACAUGACGAUAGUGAAAUUCCCAGUCUACCUCCCAGCUUCUGUUGCUACCUCCACCUUUCCCUCCCCGACCUAAUUCCUAAC